UUGUCAAUUACUAAAGCUAUGAACUCAAAAUUCUCUAAUAGUGUUACCGACCAAUGAAUAGUUUACUUGAAAUACGAGAACUUCGAAACAAUUUUUGAAGGAUUAUUACUAAUUUUUUAAGUUACUCCAUAAAGAAAAAUAUUGGAUUAAUCAAGUUUGAUAUUCCACUAUUAGAUACAAUUGAAACUACAGUGCCUAGUUUCAGAGUGUCAAUUAUGAUCCCAAUAGCCUCAGCUAACUAAACAUGCACAUGCACACAUCAAGCAUUGGACCAGUUCAGAAUUAUUAUCGUCCAUUUGGGUUUCUGAGGCAGUAAGUCGUAUAAAACAUUCAAUAGCACAAGAGUAUAUGCUCAAAAUGUAAAACAAAUGAAGCUUUAGAAGGCUAAAGACACAAAAUCUGUCUUUAAUUG
This 412-nucleotide unclassified non-coding RNA is filed under the name Hevea brasiliensis (rubber tree). Lineage: Eukaryota; Viridiplantae; Streptophyta; Magnoliopsida; Malpighiales; Euphorbiaceae. The record is from RNAcentral.